RNAcentral lists this ribosomal RNA (632 nucleotides) under uncultured bacterium. RNAcentral describes it as "bacterial SSU rRNA". It matches the Rfam family "Bacterial small subunit ribosomal RNA", at positions 75 to 715 of the family's 1533-position model. The record is from RNAcentral.
UGCUUAAACGCAAUACGAGAGUAUCCUAGUGGCGAACGGGUGAGUAACGCGUUGGUGACCUACCCCAAAGUGUGGGAUAACAGUCCGAAAGGAUUGCUAAUACCGCAUGUGGUCAUCGGGUUUAGAAACCGAUGUCUAAAGGAGCAAUUCGCUUUGGGAGGGACCUGCGUCCCAUCAGCUAGUUGGUGAGGUAAUGGCUCACCAAGGCGACGACGGGUAGGGGACCUGAGAGGGUGGCCCCCCACAAUGGAACUGAAACACGGUCCAUACACCUACGGGUGGCAGCAGUAGGGAAUAUUGCACAAUGGGCGAAAGCCUGAUGCAGCAACACCGCGUGUGCGAUGAAGGCCUUCGGGUCGUAAAGCACUUUUCUGAGAGAUGAGAAAGGACAGUAUCUCAGGAAUAAGUCUCGGCUAACUACGUGCCAGCAGCCGCGGUAAAACGUAGGAGGCAAGCGUUAUCCGGAUUCACUGGGCGUAAAGCGCGUGCAGGCGGUUCGGUAAGUUGGGCGUGAAAUCUCCCGGCUCAACUGGGAGAGGUCGUUCAAUACUACCGGACUUGAGAGCAGAAGAGGAAAGUGGAAUUCCCGGUGUAGUGGUGAAAUGCGUAGAUAUCGGAAGGAACACCAGUGG